Molecule: long non-coding RNA, 254 nt
Filed under: Panax ginseng (ginseng)
Lineage: Eukaryota; Viridiplantae; Streptophyta; Magnoliopsida; Apiales; Araliaceae
Description: long non-coding RNA (PGIN_LNC002469)
Source: RNAcentral
GAGUCUACUUUGGGUAAACGGGGUAUGCAUGAAUGAACCUUGGGUAAGAUUUUAAUUUUUGAAACAGUCAAGAUGAGUAGAUUAUUCAGAUCCAGCUCUUCAGUUAGUAACAGGUCUGCCUUGCCUCCUGUUCCAGAUAUAGUGAACCAAGAAGAACAUAAUUAUAAAAACCUUAAUCAAGUUUUAAACGAUUGGAAUAUACCUAGGGUAUCUCCAAAAGAAAUUUAUCAGUCAACUUUUUUAGAUAAAUUUAA